Molecule: long non-coding RNA, 425 nt
Organism: Salvelinus sp. IW2-2015
Lineage: Eukaryota; Metazoa; Chordata; Actinopteri; Salmoniformes; Salmonidae
Source: RefSeq, a predicted model, not a curated record
UGUCAUUCCUUUAUUGAAAAUAUUACCUUGUUCACACCACAGGGCCUACCAAAGCAAGGUUUCUCAACAAACUGUGGGGUGUUUGUUUUGAUGUACGCUCUGUACAUUGCAAUGGAAGCACAGUGUAUUUCACUGAGGUCUGAAGAAGAGGUUGAAAGAUCGAAAAAGGCGGCGAAAACAAAACACACUACAGCAUGAUGUAGAAGAUGUCCCCCCAAAGAAGUCACAGCAUGUCACAUCAGCAUCCAGCUCUGCAGGAUCAGAUGAUACUGGAAACAAAAUGCACAGCGAACUGGGAGCUGUGAACUGGGUAUGUAGUCUACUGUGUGUAAUGCUGAAGGCUUGAUGCAUGGCAAGAUAUAAUAGUUGUGAUGACUUGUUGAGUAGUUAUAGAUAUCACUGAAAACCCCCUUUAGUAAUAGGGG